Molecule: ribosomal RNA, 850 nt
Filed under: uncultured bacterium
Lineage: Bacteria
Description: bacterial SSU rRNA
Rfam family: Bacterial small subunit ribosomal RNA
Source: RNAcentral
GCNCCUUACCAUGCNAGUCGAACGGCUAACGACGGNAAGCUUGCUUCCGGGCGACGAGCUGGCGGACGGGUGAGUAAUACUUAGGAAUCUGCCCAGCUAGUGGGGGACAACCAGGAGAAAUCCUGGCUAAUACCGCAUACGCACUACGGUGGAAAGUGGGGGAUCUUCGGACCUCACGCUAUUGGAUGAGCCUAAGUCGGAUUAGCUUGUUGGUGAGGUAAAAGCUCACCAAGGCGACGAUCCGUAGCUGGUCUGAGAGGACGAUCAGCCACACUGGGACUGAGACACGGCCCAGACUCCUACGGGAGGCAGCAGUGGGGAAUAUUGGACAAUGGGGGCAACCCUGAUCCAGCAAUGCCGCGUGUGUGAAGAAGGCCUGCGGGUUGUAAAGCACUUUCAGUAGAGAAGAAAAGCCUAGGGUUAAUAACCCUGAGUCUUGACGUAACCUACAGAAGAAGCACCGGCUAAUUCCGUGCCAGCAGCCGCGGUAAUACGGAGGGUGCGAGCGUUAAUCGGAAUUACUGGGCGUAAAGCGCGCGUANGCGGUUUUGUCAGUCGGAUGUGAAAGCCCCGGGCUUAACCUGGGAAUUGCAUUCNAUACUGCAUAACUAGAGUACGGUAGAGGGAAGUGGAAUUCCGGGUGUAGCGGUGAAAUGCGUAGAUAUCCGGAGGAACAUCAGUGGCGAAGGCGGCUUCCUGGACCAAUACUGACACUGAGGCGCGAAAGCGUGGGGAGCAAACAGGAUUAGAUACCCUGGUAGUCCACGCCCUAAACGAUGAGAACUAGCCGUUGGGAGCAUUUAAGCUCUUAGUGGCGCAGCUAACGCGUUAAGUUCUCCGCCUGGGGAGU